Non-coding RNA from Manis javanica (Malayan pangolin), 5215 nucleotides. Lineage: Eukaryota; Metazoa; Chordata; Mammalia; Pholidota; Manidae. The record is from RefSeq and is a predicted model, not a curated record.
GGAUUUCCGAUUCCGGGAGUAACGAACGGCCGCGGCGGCGACAGCUCUAGCUUCGGAGCAGCGGUUGCGGAGGAGGAAGAAGAGCAGGGAAAGGCGGGAGUCACAGGCGGGACCCUAGCCAUGGGUCCGCGGACUUAGAGCAGCGCAAGCCACCGGCCCUGUGCCGAGCUGGCUGCUGUUCCUUCCUGUGGCCCCCAUGGCUGAGGACUGGCUGGACUGCCCAGCCCUGGGCCCUGGCUGGAAGCGUCGUGAGGUCUUUCGAAAGUCAGGAGCCACCUGCGGACGCUCAGAUACCUAUUACCAAAGCCCCACAGGAGAUAGGAUCCGAAGCAAAGUUGAGCUGACCCGAUACCUCGGCCCUGCGUGCGACCUCACCCUCUUCGACUUCAAACAAGGCAUCUUGUGCUAUCCAGCUCCCAAGACCAGUUCCUUGGCCAUCCCCAGCAAGAAGCGUAAGAAGGCUUCAAGGCCAGCCAAGUCACGGAAACGUCAGGUUGGAUCCCAGAGGGGUGAGAUCAGGAAGGAGGCCCCAAAGGAUGAAACCAAGGCUGAUGCUGACACAGCCCCAGCUUCACUCCCUGCACCUGGGUGCUGUGAAAAUUGUGGAAUCAGCUUCUCAGGGGAUGGUACCCAAAGGCAGCGGCUCAAGACACUUUGCAAGGACUGCCGAGCACAGCGAAUUGCUUUCAACCGGGAGCAGAGGAUGUUUAAGCGUGUGGGCUGCGGGGAGUGUACAGCCUGCCUGGUAACUGCGGACUGCGGGGCCUGUUCCACCUGCCUUCUGCAGCUGCCCCAUGAUGUGGCCUCGGGGCUGUUCUGCAAGUGUGAGAGGAGACGGUGCCUCCGGAUUGUGGAAAGGAGCCGAGGGUGUGGAGUAUGCCGGGGCUGUCAGACCCGAGAGGACUGUGGCCGUUGCCGAGUCUGCCUUCGCCCUCCACGCCCUGGUCUCAGGCGCCAGUGGAAGUGUAUCCAGCGGCGCUGCCUAAGGGGUAAACGUGGCCACCACAGGGGAGGCUGUGACACCAAGAUGACUGCCAGGCAGCUUCCCCAAACCCAGCCCCCACCUCCGAUUCCUCCAUCGCAGCCUCCAGAGUCACCAGAGCUGCACCCCAGAGCCCUGGCCCCCUCGCCACCUGCCGAGUUCAUCUAUUACUGUGUAGACGAGGACGAGCUACAGCCUUACACGAAUCGCCGACAGAACCGCAAGUGUGGGGCCUGUGCAGCCUGCCUACGGCGGAUGGACUGUGGCCACUGCGACUUCUGCUGUGACAAGCCCAAAUUUGGGGGCAGCAACCAGAAGCGCCAGAAGUGUCGUUGGCGCCAGUGCCUGCAGUUUGCCAUGAAGCGGCUGCUGCCAAGUGUCCAGGCAGGGUCUGAGGAAGGGGCAGGGCCGCCCCCACCUUGCCCUCAUCGAAAGAGGCCUGGCUCUACUCAUCGGCUCCGUCUGGGCCAGACCCUGAAGGCCCCCUUGGCCACACCCACAGUCCUGCCAGACCAUGCUCAGACUCCAGUGAAGCAGGAAACAGACAGUGGCUUUGUGCUGCCCCCACCUGGCACUGACCUUGUGUUUUUACGGGAAGGUGCAAGCAGUCCCGUGCAGGUGCCUGGCCCUGCGCCAGCUUCCACAGAAGCCCUGCUGCAGGCAGUAGACCCAGGCCUGCCACCUGUGAAGCAAGAGCCACCUGACCCUGAGGAGGACAAGGAAGAGAGCAAGGAUGACUCUGCCUCCGAUUCAGCCCCAGAGGAGGAGGCAGGAGGGACUGGCACGCCUGUGAUCACGGAGAUUUUCAGCCUGGGUGGAACCCGCCUCCGGGACACAGCAGUCUGGUUGCCAAGGUCCAAGGACCUUAAAAAACCUGGAGCUAGAAAGCAGUAGACUGGAGGCUUCUGCAGACUAUAGGAUUCAAGGUGAUAUUUACAGACCGGCUUUAUGAGAGAACACUGAUCUACUCAGAGGCUGGACCAUAGAUCCAGAGGCUUAUGUAGGAGUCAAUAGGAACUGGGAAAACCUACCACCAAACCAGACAAGCAGUACUCUGAUCAGAACUUUGAGCUUAUAGAGGAAGUAAGCAGAAAAGGAAGAGAAAGAAUAGAAAUGUGGUGUAUCUGCUCCAACUGGUCCAAUCCCAAGGAGCUUGAAUGUGAUAAGUGUGGACGUUAGGGGUGGUGGAGGGGACGUAAUUAAAGCCCCAACAGAAUAGUCUAAACAAGCCAUCUUCAUAAAUGAUUUUAAAUGGCUUCUGGAUGAGACCUGGCAGUGUGUCUAGUCAUUUUCUCAGGGAGACAGCAAUUGAAAAUGUAAUGUGAAUAAAUGAGGAUCUGCUGUUUAUUGAGUUCCUCCUAUUGACUAUUUAAUCCUCAAAACAGUUUUUAUAGGAGGACAUUGAUUUUGCCCAUUUUCACAGAUGGGAAAACAGACUUAAAGAUAUUAAGUAACUUGUCCACUGUCACACGGCUAGUAUGGACAGAGCUUAGAAUCAAACCCAGAUUGUAAAAACCUUUUCUUUAAUCAGUCACUAAAUUGUAAACUGUAAUCUUGUAUUCAAUAAUGUAUAAUAAUAUAGUAAUAGAAUUUUCCAGUGACCUUGAAAAAAAACAAGGUGGAUUACUCUAAGCAAUUCUUUAUACUGCUGCCUGUAGCAUGGUUUAGGGAGGGCCAAGGAUGGGGAUGGGGUGGAUGGGGUCACCUUGUCAGAACACCUGUGCAUCCAGAGAAUGGGUUCUUCCCAGACCUCUGGCCCUGUGUUAGGAUUCCUCAAAUCCUAAAGAGCAUCCUUCUUUACUGGUUGCUGUCCAUUUUGCUUGUUACCCUCCCUCCUCCUCCUCAGCCAAAGUAGCCUGCAGAAGUAAAGCUGUUAGCCUGCUCAUCUUUGCUGACAACUUGUGUCCUCUGCCCCUUGAUGACCCUUGUGCUUGGUUUCUGCUCUCAGCCCCUGUCUGCUAAGUCUGAGUUCUUGCUUCAGAUCCUCCCAAAGGGCCGGUCGUGGCCCAGCCCUCACAUCCCAGUUCUUCUUAAAGUACUAAAAAGAUUAAGACUUGUGAUUCAUUACUUAGCUAUCUUUAUAGGGCCUGGACUGAGUAGGUGCAUCCUUAAAUCUUGUAGCCUAUGUGCCUCCCUUGCCUUAUGCUAGUCCUAGCUCUGCAGCUUUAGGUAAUUCAUAUGUAGAUUGGCCACUUCCUAACCAUUAGUUCAAUAGAGCCCUCUGCCACUUCCCCUGUCUUUUCUUUCUCCUUGUCCUACCUACUUCAGUUAAAGUCAAGACUGGUUAAUUUUCUCAUAUUGUUUUGCUCCCCCCAGGAUCCAUCUACGCAACCCAAGUAUUCUGUGAUGUCCUAAGUGAAACUGAUUGGCAUUCUGAUCCAUGAUAAGAUCUGGUUCCUAUGUGUAUUAGGGUACAAUCAGAAAAGCAGCACCACUAUAAGAUUAUAUAUAUAUAUAUAUAUAUGUAUGUAUAUGUAUAUGUAUAGAUGUGUGUGUGUGUGUGUGUGUGUGUGUGUGUGUGUAUUAAGGGAUUUGUUAUAGGGAUUUGACUUAAUGAAAUUGUGGGAGCUGGUUAAACAGUCACUGUAAGGCUGUUGUCUUUGCAUCUAAUGCUGGAGCUUGAAGUCUGCAGGGCAGGCAAUCGGGAAGGGAAGAUGGAUAUAAAGUGUGGGAGACCGAGGAUAUGUUGGCGCCCAAGAGCACAAGCUGGAACCCACAAGGAUGGCCUCGAACCCAUGUCAGUCUCUCACCACCUUCAACUUCGAUGAUGUGGGUGUCCUGUAGAAGAAGCUGGUGCCCUUCAUCACAGAGUUAAAUAUGCAUCUGGCCCAGGAAUUAGAGAAGAUCCCGGGGAAGGUGGAGCAGCUGCAGGCCUGGCUGCAGGCCUGACUGCUGCCCCACACCAACGAGGUGAGCCAGCAGAUAAGUGACAACAUGUGUGACCUGCAACAGUGCCUGGUGCCCCUGCACCAAUCUUCCAAGUGUAAAAACAAUGUGCUGCUGCUUCACUUCUGCCCUCCAGUUAUGACGCAGAAUGUCUCUUGUGGCCCAUUCCAGCCGGAAUCAUACGGGGAAGGGAGUUCUGGGAAACGUAGCCUAGUCAAGGGACACAUAACAAAGCCACCCUGCCAUGAAUCAGCUCCCAAGGGUCUCACUACUCACCUGAGGAUAACUUGAUAAAGCUACGUUGCUGAAAAUGCAAAGCUGAAGACCAUGGAUUUCAUGGUGACCCCAGCAAGUACAGAAAUUCUGACAAGCCUACCCAGAAAAAACUUGCUGGUCUCGGCUAUUUUUGUGUCAUUCAUUCAAGUAUUGAGAACCUGGCCCAUGGUAGGCACUGUACUUAAUACUGGGAUACAGGAAUGAAAAGAGGUAGUCCAUGCAAUUUUAUUAAAUUCAUCAAUAUGUAUUACAGAUGGUGAAUGGAUUUCCAACUUUAUCAUGGAAUUUAAUGGUGAAAAUAGAGAACUCAGGAACUAUCGGGAGGACAGCCCUUGUGUGAGCCUUGUUGGGACACAAUAGGAAUUGGAAAUAAUAUAAAUAGUUUUUAUCUCUAAGCUGUUCUAUUUUAAAGUUAUUUUAAAAUGAUUUUUAUCGUCCCAUUACUCAUUCAUAUACUUAGUGUUUCUUUUGGGAGUGCCUUGAUGGUGGUAACAAUGUUGACCGUCUCCGAGAAAGUGAGGAAGUGGGUGGCAAGAUAAAGGUCAGGUUCUGGACAAGGACCUUAGUCGAAAUCACUUCUCUGUCGGGGGGCGGAAAGGGGCGGGGUGGGGAGGGGUGGCCGAAGGCGGGGGUUCACCGCGCUGGCGUCCUGGCAUCGUCCCUCCAAUAUUCCGAGUAGGCCCGCCAGGGGGCGCCGAAACCGCGGUCAUCCAACUGGGCUUGCGAGUCUCUGCACUUCGCCUUUGGCCUGGGCGGCCUGGGGCGUGGCCUCCGCCCGGCGGAGACGUCAGUCCGUGACUGGACGGGAGGAAAGCCUACUUUCUCCUUUGUGUAGUGGUAAAACAGGCAAAAUGGAGCCGCAGUUAAAUUACGGGGCUCGCCAGGGGUGAGGGCGAGGCACGACGAGCUCAGGACCGGCGCUGGGACGUUCGAGGGCAGCCGGGUGUCGCCAGGGGCUACGUAAACUCUUAACAGUAAAUGAAAAUGAGUAUUUUGCCGAACUGCAAUUGAAAGAAGAAGCAUUAUAGGAGAAAAAAACAAAAUGAGAGUUAUUAAAAGAGAUUAUUAAAA